Molecule: long non-coding RNA, 1136 nt
Filed under: Prunus persica (peach)
Lineage: Eukaryota; Viridiplantae; Streptophyta; Magnoliopsida; Rosales; Rosaceae
Description: long non-coding RNA (PPER_LNC001496)
Source: RNAcentral
UUAAAGCAGUAACCAUCUGCCAUCUAGACACAUCAGAAUGGGACCCAGAGCAUAUGUCCUUCCAAAUCGUCAACGUUAAGCCCGGAACCAUUCCCAUCUGCCAUUUCAUUUCCACUGAUGCUAUUGCCUGGGUUCCGAACCACAAAUCUGCAUGAUCAUCACUUAGCACUGUACGUAUAAUUAUCUCCUUACUUAUUUCUGCCUCUUCAUCAUGUGGUGUAAGAUAUAUGAUGAGAUGAAGUUUUUGGGAUUAGUGGUUGGGUUGCCUGAAAAACACAGAUUACAGAAACUGCUUGAAAUUAACCCGAUCAUGUUUUCUCUUGUAACUAUAUAGACUUCAACUUGUACUCAUAAUAAAGCAUGCUAUAUUUAUGAAGAGAUAUUAAUCUAUAUAUAUUUUUUAUAUAUGCUUUGGCUUUGUGGUUCUACCCAAUGUUUGAGUGUUGAAUUGUUACGUUGGAAUAGGCUGCUAAUGCAUGUAGUUAGAGAAGCCUUCAUUUAUAUCAAAGUCCUCAAACUAUCAAGAACUAAUGUAUCCAGAAACAUAUACCAAGACGCAAAACAACAUAUUUUCCAUGCUCUGUCUGUAACACCAAAGCAAACUUCCUUGAUCACAAAAGGAUCAAAUUCCAGUACUAAUCUAAUCCAUCAUGUAAAGCAUACAAGUGCCUCCCUAAAUACUAUACUCUUUUUGUUAUUUCCUACUAUACUAUUUAAGUUUGCAUACUCAUAUAGCAUAUGCAAACACAAUUAGAAAUUCUACAAGAUACAAACAACCCCCUCAACUUUGACCAGUGUGUCAAUUUAGUUCUUGAAAUUUAGAUUACAAAGCAAAAUCAAAUCAUACCAUGAAACACAAGCGACUUAAACCUCCAGGCAAAUAGAUAUUAUGAACAUAUAUAGCAAUUUAUAGAACAAUACAUUAAUCCAGAAGAAAUAUUAUGAAAUGAAAAGAAUAAAAAGUAGAAAAACACAAGGAAAGGAAUUUGCACCUGCUCACUUGCAGAUUGCUUUCUCCGGCCGUAGAUGUAACAGAAAUUUUCUCUUAAUAAUACCACAAUGAUCGGGUAAUUGUAAGAACAAGUUGAUUUAAAAUUCCUUGACCCAAAAAAAAAAAAAGUUGAUUUAAAAUUCAG